This is a long non-coding RNA of Arabidopsis lyrata subsp. lyrata, 1377 nucleotides long. RefSeq lists it as uncharacterized. The record is from RefSeq and is a predicted model, not a curated record. The transcript has 3 exons. NCBI's taxonomy places the organism in Eukaryota, Viridiplantae, Streptophyta, Magnoliopsida, Brassicales, Brassicaceae.
UUUGUAUUAUAUGUGUGUCGAUUUAAUUAAUCAAAUCUCCUAAAAAUAUUAGGGUUUGUUUUAUCGUCCGAAAAGGUAGUAUCUUAUCAAACUAUAUUUUCUAUUUUAUCGUGAAUUUAUUUAUUUGUUUUUCUUUUAUACUGCUAUAAACCCUAGCGUAUAUAUAUUUUUUUCCUAAGCACAUUAAAUAUGUAUUGAAAUUCAGGGACAAAUCAUGGGUCGUAUCCACGAACAGCUCUUCAAGAUGAGAUCACGAGCGAGAUUGCAGAGGAUGAGCUUUGGAAUAACUCAUGAUAUCUUUCUACAAUGUUCUUAAAACACCAAAGCUUAUAAGAUAUAGCUUUCUUCAAGUCUCUUAUUGCUUCCAGUGUCUCAUCCAUCAAAAGACAACAUAUGUGUCUCUUAUCUUUUGGAGCUGUCACAGCCUUCGCUUUUGGACUCACAAAUACCAGUUUCAAAUACAAUAAGAAGACUAAACCCUCAAGAAUAUUCCACUACGAAAAGAUCACUCCAAGAAAUUCGUUUGUUUUAUCCAACUCUGCUCUUUGAUUAGCGGAAAACAAAGAUACGUAGUCAAUGGAGUCUUUUAUAUGACAUGUUCGGAGAUUAGUCCUACCACUCGAUCUCAUAUUAUCUCCCGUCCUUUUAUUCCUCUAGGAACACCAUUAACAACAAGUCCUACCUGCCAAGACUGGUUGUUCGUGAUCAAAUUCGGUGGUAACUCAAGAGUUGUGAAGAUGGUAGCCUCCCCAUUGACCAGACUCGCGGAGACGGGGUUCGCAUGGAAGGUAAGGCUACCCCGUGAAUUGCGUGCCGUAUCAACUCACGAAGGAGGUAUAAGGCUGGAAUUGGCCACUUGAGUUGGUUAAGGCGACGAGCGCUUGCGUCCCAACCAUCUGAGUACUACUUGGGUUAAGUGUCCAAGCAAUCCAAGAAGAAGAAGAGGUUCCAUGGUGGCGAAAGGCGAUGGAAACGGUAUCGUUUGGUUCGUUGCAUAUCCAGUGGAGAUAAAAGAAUAAGGUCAAAGCUCGGCGAAGGCGAGGUUAUUGGAGAAACUGUGUGUGUCACAACCAAACUGAUAAGAAAAAAGUGUUGCCAACACGGGAACAUAGCUUGCUUUGGAGAUUGCGGUCGGUCCAUGUCUUUGUGUUCUAUUUUGAAGGUUGGGUGGGAUUUAUGAGAGUUACGAGGCUUUAAAGAGAUAUAUAGAAACGCAAACACUGAUGCCUUUUUAAAGACUACGAAAGUUGGAAGCUGUUCUUUGUUGACUUUUUUGCCCGUCUUGUAUCUUUCGCUUUUCUAGAUGUGAUAUGAUAAAAGCAUAACAUUCAUAUUUCUAAAAUUUAAAGUUCUUUUUAAGAACAUGAUUAUAGUAUG